UGGGGAAUUUUGGACAAUGGGCGAAAGCCUGAUCCAGCAAUGCCGCGUGUGUGAAGAAGGCCUUCGGGUUGUAAAGCACUUUUGUCCGGAAAGAAAUGGCUCUGGUUAAUACCUGGGGUCGAUGACGGUACCGGAAGAAUAAGGACCGGCUAACUACGUGCCAGCAGCCGCGGUAAUACGUAGGGUCCAAGCGUUAAUCGGAAUUACUGGGCGUAAAGCGUGCGCAGGCGGUUGUGCAAGACCGAUGUGAAAUCCCCGAGCUUAACUUGGGAAUGGCAUUGGUGACUGCACGGCUAGAGUGUGUCAGAGGGGGGUAGAAUUCCACGUGUAGCAGUGAGAUGCGUAGAGAUGUGGAGGAAUACCGAUGGCGAAGGCAGGCCCCUGGGAUAACACUGACGCUCAUGCACGAAAGCGUGGGGAGCAAACAGG
RNAcentral lists this ribosomal RNA (429 nucleotides) under bacterium. Its description in RNAcentral is "partial 16S ribosomal RNA". It matches the Rfam family "Bacterial small subunit ribosomal RNA", at positions 355 to 776 of the family's 1533-position model. The record is from RNAcentral.